GACGGGGGAUGCAAGCGUUAUCCGGAAUCACUGGGCGUAAAGCGUCUGUAGGUGGUGAUGCAAGUCACUGGUGCAAAACUCUGGCUCAACCGGAGGAAAGCCAGUGAAACUGCAUGACUAGAGUGUGGGAGAGGUAGAAGGAAUUCCCUGAGUAGCGGUGAAAUGCGUAGAUACAGGGAAGAACACCGGCGGCGAAAGCGUUCUACUGGAACACAACUGACACUGAGACAAGAAAGCUAGGGGAGCGAAUGGG
This 253-nucleotide ribosomal RNA is filed under the name uncultured bacterium. RNAcentral's name for it is "partial 16S ribosomal RNA". It matches the Rfam family "Bacterial small subunit ribosomal RNA", at positions 524 to 776 of the family's 1533-position model. The record is from RNAcentral.